AUGGCGCUGCGCAACCUGGCCGCGAAGUUGCGGAUCCCCACCUCUGCUGCUGCCCGGCUCCCGUCGCCCCCCACCCCUGCUGCUUUCCGGCUCCCAUCGGACCCUAGCGUUCCGCCGCCGUCCGUUUCUCGGCUCGAGAGCGCCAGAGACUGGUACCAGUUCCAGCGGGCACGUUAUGAUGAUGUGACAAGAGAGUUUAGAAACUUCAGGCUUGAGGUUGUGUGGUCUGAAAGGGUGGCUAACCUGCUUGAUUUGGCUUACAAGGUGGGUUGUCCUAUUGUCGUUGGUGGUGUGGUCAUGAAAGGGAUUGCCUAUCGGGUGCUUGCCUAUCAGAAGAUGUGA
RNAcentral lists this ribosomal RNA (342 nucleotides) under Triticum aestivum (bread wheat). RNAcentral describes it as "partial small subunit ribosomal RNA". The record is from RNAcentral. Lineage: Eukaryota; Viridiplantae; Streptophyta; Magnoliopsida; Poales; Poaceae.